CACAGGACUCUGGGGUUUUAUAGUUUUCUCACACCUCUGCUAUAGUCAAAUAGGAAGGAGUGGAGAUAACAAAUGGAAAAUUCUUAUUUUCUGUGUGAUUUUGCUUCAGGAAUAUGCCCAUUCAAACACCUGCCUACUGGCCACAGUGCUACAUGCACCCUUCCCUGCCUGCUUCUUCAGAGGUGCCAUGGGAGAGAGACCAUUCUCAGGCAUCAUUGAAAGGCCUCAAACAUUGUCCUGAAAUCUCGAAAUUGUUGAUGCAUACCUCUGAACUGUUUCUCUGUGUGAGAGAAGAACCCUUGGUACCCCCAGAAGCCAAUGAUGUCAUUAGUCUGAAAUCUAGCAGGCUGAAGACACAAGAAGAGCCAGCGUUUUUGCCUCAAGGGCAGGUAAUGGCUUCUGAUCAUGUAGAAAGCAGGCAGAGAGGAAGAGUUCCAUCUUCUUCAGGGAGCUCCAGUGGUUUUGUUUUAUUCCGGCCUCUAAAUUUUCACAUUAAGGAUGGUGAUCUAUCAACUUAAACUUUAAACUCAUCCAGAAAGAAACCAUCCUCACAGAAAUACCCAGGAUAAUGUUUAAUCAAAUAUUUAAGCACCU
RNAcentral lists this long non-coding RNA (594 nucleotides) under Cricetulus griseus (Chinese hamster). Its description in RNAcentral is "lncRNA (ENSCGRG00000025776.1)". Lineage: Eukaryota; Metazoa; Chordata; Mammalia; Rodentia; Cricetidae. The record is from RNAcentral.